RNAcentral lists this long non-coding RNA (273 nucleotides) under Olea europaea (common olive). RNAcentral describes it as "long non-coding RNA (OEUR_LNC003380)". The record is from RNAcentral. Lineage: Eukaryota; Viridiplantae; Streptophyta; Magnoliopsida; Lamiales; Oleaceae.
UUGCAAUCUAGAUCUGUAUUAAAAAUCAAUAGAGCCAAACAAUAUUGCUUAGAAAUCAAUGAUAUCGAAGUGCUGGAACCACUAAUUUUUCUUGGACUUCACUUGGUGAUGAAAUUUGAACCUCAUUCAAAUCUAUAUGAGGUACCGAACUCACAUUUGCAGCACCCCUUUCACUCUCUAUUUUCGAAGACUUUCUCAAAGCUGUGACAAGAAACUCGCAACAUUUACCACUCAACAAAAGCACAAACUUUUGAUGACGGGGGGGGGGGGGGG